Molecule: ribosomal RNA, 484 nt
Filed under: uncultured bacterium
Lineage: Bacteria
Description: partial 16S ribosomal RNA
Rfam family: Bacterial small subunit ribosomal RNA
Source: RNAcentral
AUUGAACGCUGGCGGCAGGCCUAAUACAUGCAAGUCGAGCGGAUGAAGGGAGCUUGCUCCUGGAUUCAGCGGCGGACGGGUGAGUAAUGCCUAGGAAUCUGCCUGGUAGUGGGGGAUAACGUCCGGAAACGGGCGCUAAUACCGCAUACGUCCUGAGGGAGAAAGUGGGGGAUCUUCGGACCUCACGCUAUCAGAUGAGCCUAGGUCGGAUUAGCUAGUUGGUGGGGUAAAGGCCUACCAAGGCGACGAUCCGUAACUGGUCUGAGAGGAUGAUCAGUCACACUGGAACUGAGACACGGUCCAGACUCCUACGGGAGGCAGCAGUGGGGAAUAUUGGACAAUGGGCGAAAGCCUGAUCCAGCCAUGCCGCGUGUGUGAAGAAGGUCUUCGGAUUGUAAAGCACUUUAAGUUGGGAGGAAGGGCAGUAAGUUAAUACCUUGCUGUUUUGACGUUACCAACAGAAUAAGCACCGGCUAACUUCGCG